UGAUGGCGACCGGCGCACGGGUGAGUAACACGUAUCCAACCUGCCGAUGACUCGGGGAUAGCCUUUCGAAAGAAAGAUUAAUACCCGAUGGCAUAGUUCUUCCGCAUGGUGGAACUAUUAAAGAAUUUCGGUCAUCGAUGGGGAUGCGUUCCAUUAGGUUGUUGGCGGGGUAACGGCCCACCAAGCCUUCGAUGGAUAGGGGUUCUGAGAGGAAGGUCCCCCACAUUGGAACUGAGACACGGUCCAA
This 247-nucleotide ribosomal RNA is filed under the name uncultured bacterium. Its description in RNAcentral is "partial 16S ribosomal RNA". It matches the Rfam family "Bacterial small subunit ribosomal RNA", at positions 86 to 334 of the family's 1533-position model. The record is from RNAcentral.